RNAcentral lists this ribosomal RNA (370 nucleotides) under uncultured eukaryote. RNAcentral's name for it is "partial 18S ribosomal RNA". It matches the Rfam family "Eukaryotic small subunit ribosomal RNA", at positions 592 to 976 of the family's 1831-position model. The record is from RNAcentral.
CAAUAGCGUAUAUUAAAGUUGUUGCAGUUAAAAAGCUCGUAGUUGGACCUUGGACCUGGACAGGCGGUCCGCCUCACGGCGUGUACUGUCUUGCUGGGUCUCUCCUCUUGGUGAUCUGUUGUUUCGGCAGCAGGGAACCAGGACUUUUACUUUGAAAAAAUUAGAGUGUUCAAAGCAGGCUCGACGCCGGAAUAUAUUAGCAUGGAAUAAUAAAAUAGGACGUGCGGUUCUAUUUUGUUGGUUUUUGGAAUCGCCGUAAUGAUUAAUAGGGACAGUCGGGGGCAUUAGUACUCACAUGCUAGAGGUGAAAUUCUUGGAUUUUGUGAAGACUAACUUCUGCGAAAGCAUUUGCCAAGGAUGUUUUCAUUAA